GAAUUCCUGGUGUAGCGGUGGAAUGCGCAGAUAUCAGGAGGAACACCGAUGGCGAAGGCAGAUCUCUGGGCCGUAACUGACGCUGAGGAGCGAAAGCAUGGGGAGCGAACAGGAUUAGAUACCCUGGUAGUCCAUGCCGUAAACGUUGGGCGCUAGAUGUAGGGACCUUUCCACGGUUUCUGUGUCGUAGCUAACGCAUUAAGCGCCCCGCCUGGGGAGUACGGCCGCAAGGCUAAAACUCAAAGGAAUUGACGGGGGCCCGCACAAGCGGCGGAGCAUGCGGAUUAAUUCGAUGCAACGCGAAGAACCUUACCAAGGCUUGACAUACACCGGAAACGGCCAGAGAUGGUCGCCCCCUUGUGGUCGGUGUACAGGUGGUGCAUGGUUGUCGUCAGCUCGUGUCGUGAGAUGUUGGGUUAAGUCCCGCAACGAGCGCAACCCUCGUUCUAUGUUGCCAGCGGGUUAUGCCGGGGACUCAUAGGAGACUGCCGGGGUCAACUCGGAGGAAGGUGGGGAUGACGUCAAAUCAUCAUGCCCCUUAUGUCUUGGGCUUCAC
Molecule: ribosomal RNA, 556 nt
Filed under: Curtobacterium sp. EHE_2_13
Lineage: Bacteria; Bacillati; Actinomycetota; Actinomycetes; Micrococcales; Microbacteriaceae
Description: bacterial SSU rRNA
Rfam family: Bacterial small subunit ribosomal RNA
Source: RNAcentral